Sycon ciliatum is the source of this 1225-nucleotide long non-coding RNA. RefSeq lists it as uncharacterized. Lineage: Eukaryota; Metazoa; Porifera; Calcarea; Leucosolenida; Sycettidae. The transcript has 3 exons. The record is from RefSeq and is a predicted model, not a curated record.
AACCUGUCAAAACCGUAGGGUCGGCAACGAAGGCACCGCUGAUACCGUUCAUUAUCAACGAUGGGGACACGGGCAGCGUUGCCGGGGACGACGGUUUCGCCGCCACUGCCACUGCCACCACUGCCACCGCCGCCCCGAGAGCUGAACGGCCCCCGCCACGUGCGCCGUCCGUAGCGUGGUCGGAAGCAUCAGAUUCUCGUCCUUUCUCUCCUUUUCUCAACCCUGAUAAACCUUCCUGAGGCUAAGAAUGGAAGACAAUCACCGGAUAAGGCCAUGCUUGGACGAGUGACAACUCCAUGCGGCGAGCCGGUGAGACAGCAAUUAUUAUUGCACCACACUGCACUGUCCUCACCGUCUGUCCUUCUGCUGUUUCGCGGGGCGAGCAACGCGCGGCAACUUCCACGGCCGUCGUCGACAAUCAACCAUAAUAAUAUAGAAGUUAUGCCGCUGCCCGGCUUCCGGCCGCUGGUGUGUAGACGCUGACUAAGCUCGCUGUGCUUGCUUGCUUGCUGCUGCUGCUGUAUUGCCGUGUAGGUGCUAACUGAUAGAAGCUUGCUGCCGACACCCUGCUCUGCUGUGCACGCUGGGUUAGCAGCAGCUUGUAGUAUGCAGCCGGGAUCAACGUUAACGCUUGUAUUCCGUGAAGCAACCGUUUUAACGUCACUAGCAUGAUGGCAUUCCGUCAGUGGUGGUAUUACCUGGUGACGACGACAAUUGCAUUUCCUUCCUGGGGAAGACUGUUAUUUUGAUUGAUGGGAAUGCUGUACAGAUUGGUUAAAUACGACCUCUUUUCAAUGUAGUUUCAGUGAAGUGGAACACCGAGUCAGAUCUCCUGCCUGCCUUCUGCAGUGCAUGCGCAUCACACUCAUACACACUCGUAUGCACAUACUGUGCAUGCACGUCACAUUCAAAUCAAACACACACACACGUACGUGUCACACGAUUGUGUUCCGCCGCUUGGAAACCGUAUAUUUAUCGCGCGUAGACUCGUAAUAAUUUAUUUUUCUCGUUGCAGAAUCACCAUUGUCACUUCGACGUCUGCGGCGUGACAGUGUUUUAUUUCACCGCUAACCGACAAAGAGACACUUCGGCCUUAUUCGCUGGACGUCUCAACCUUAGAUAUACUAGAUGGUGCUACCAAUUUUGCCUAAUGAAUAUAUAUUAUUGCAUCCUCACCAGUGAGAACAAGCCUUCCAUAACAAUAAUUAUAAUUCUGUAAAACUAA